CAUCUAAAAUGUAAGUAAGCUAUACUUAAAGGCUUAGAACUUAAUAAUGUAUCCUGAUUCUGUACUGAAAACUUAUUUGGUAUAUUUGAUUGCUCUUAAGGGAAUGCUAAGAUAUUACAUUCUUGGCACGGUUCUUUAGUUUUAGCUUAGAGCAAUAGGAAAUACUAUACUUUGUCAUCUGCAGUAUAAUUUAUGGAUUAAAAAUAUUUCAUUCAGCCAGAAUUUAUUCCAAGUCAAAGUUUUAAAACUUUGUGAAUAGCUAUCUGAUGUACCCUUUAAAUUAACUUAGACUCCAGAUAAAUUUUCUUCUUAAAAUAACUUCACUGCAUAAGAAAUAUAUAUAAUAUCAUACAGCAUGAAACUUCGAAUUUGUUCCUGUAGACACCCAUGGUUUCUGUGAUGGUGAGAAUAAUGGACAUGGGGAAGUAGCAUCUUUCCCUGGCCCAUUGAAAGAAGAGAAUCUGUUAAAUGUUCCGAAGCCACUGCCAAAACAACUGUGGGAGACCAAGGAGAUUCAGUCCCUGUCAGGACGCCCUCGAUCCUGUGAUGUUGGAGGUGGCAA
RNAcentral lists this small RNA (562 nucleotides) under Pongo abelii (Sumatran orangutan). RNAcentral's name for it is "processed transcript". Lineage: Eukaryota; Metazoa; Chordata; Mammalia; Primates; Hominidae. The record is from RNAcentral.